This 199-nucleotide small RNA is filed under the name Tepidibacillus decaturensis. Its description in RNAcentral is "FuFi-1 RNA". It matches the Rfam family "FuFi-1 RNA". The record is from Rfam by way of RNAcentral. Lineage: Bacteria; Bacillati; Bacillota; Bacilli; Caryophanales; Bacillaceae.
GCUAUGAGCUAUGAGGGGUAAUAAAAAAGCUGAGCCACAACAGCUUAAGUCAUAGCCUCACCCAUAGAAGCCAAGAAUGCACCUCUUGGUGAUUUUAGAACCCAGCAACCAUACUGGAUAAUUCUAAAUAUCUGCAAGUGAGUUAAGGUUCCCAAACGUGGAACAAACCCAAGAAAAGGUGCAUUUUCCUUGGGUUUUG